ACCUGCAACCACCACCACCAAAUCAACACCAGUACCUGCAACCACCACCACCAAAUCAACACCAGUACCUGCAACCACCACCACCACCAAAUCAACACCAGUACCUGCAACCACCACCACCACAAAUCAACACCAGUACCUGCAACCACCACCACCAAAUCAACACCAGUACCUGCAACCACCACCACCAAAUCAACACCAGUACCUGCAAACCACCACCACCAAAUCAACACCAGUACCUGCAACCACCACCACCAAAUCAACACCUGUACCUGCAACCACCACAAACAAAACAAUUGCAGCUAUAACCACCACCAAAGUAACAACCACAACCAGCACCAACAAAUCACUAACUACAGCUGCCACAACAGCAACCACAGUCACCACCAGAGCAAUAACCAGAACCACCACUUUCAACAAUACAACAACCACAGCAGCCACCACAGAAAGAGCCACAUCGUCCUCCACAAGAAGUCGUCACUAACAAGUUAUCCUCCGAGGAUCAUGAAGAAUUAGACUUCUUAUGCCACAGAGAGAAUCACAGAUCAUCCGGAACUUCUACAUAACACUUGCAAGAUAGUGAGGUUUCCUGUGGCUCAGCACCAACGGUCUGUUGCAGGAAAUAGUUUAUGUACUUGCUAAAAGUUUUUGACCCUCCUGGUGGGAAUCCUCGUACAAUAUUUUAAAAGGAAGAACUGGCGACUCGCGGCUCAGUGGCAGCACCUUCGGGUUAUAACCAAAGGUUCUGCGUUUGAUCCUGGGCAGGGUAAGACAUAUGAGCAGGUUUCCUUGCACUUCUUGUCCUUAUUCACUUAACAGCAAGUAGGUACCUGUAUUCAUUAAUAGCAAGUAGGUACCCUUAUUCACUUUAAAGCAAGUAGGUACCCUUAUUUACUUAACAGCAAGUAGAUACCCUUACUCACUUAAUAGCAAGUAGGUACCCUUACUCACUUAACAGCAAGUAGGUACCCUUAUUCACUUAACAGCAGGUAGAUACCCUUACUCACUUAACAGCAAGUAGGUACCCUUAUUCACUUAACAGCAAGUAGGUACCCUUAUUCACUUAACAGCAAGUAGGUACCCUUAUUCACUUAACAGCAAGUAGGUACCGGGGUGUGAAAGAAGACAUAUAUUUUUAUUUAUGACAUUGAAAGAAGUGUCUCAUUUUAUGUGUCUCUUCACUCGUGGUGAAACCUUACCUAUUAAUGUCAUAAUUGUAUAUACAGUGGACCCCCGCAUAACUAUUACCUCCGAAUGCGACCAAUUAUGUAAGUGUAUUUAUGUAAGUGCGUUUGUACGUGUAUGUUUGGGAGUCUGAAAUGGACUAAUCUACUUCACAAUAUUCCUUAUGGGAACAAAUUCGGUCAGUACUGGCACCUGAACAUACUUCUGGAGUGAAAAAAUAUCGUUAACCAGGGGGUCCACUGUAUAGGUGCUCUUUGACUUACGAUGGUUCGACUUACAAUAUUUCAAUUUUACCUUGGUACUAAAGCAAUUACUUUGGAGAUGCAACUUGGAGGUAAUUACCCAGUAUGAUUUACUUUUAGGUACUGGUAUUUAGUUUGUUACGGUAAUUAUUUACAUAUUCAGUGAAGAUAAUUAUUUAUUUUCUUAUUUAGGAUAUCAUUAUUUUUUGAAUUACGAUAUUUGUAACUUAUGAUGGGUUUGUCAGAACGCAACCCCAUCGUGAGUCAAGGACCACCUGUGUGUGUCACCAGUAUCCUGCCAGUAUCUCCAUGCCUUGUACAACCAGGUACCUGAGUGUCAGCCAACUGUUGUAUAUACACCCUUAACUCUACAUAAAUGUCUUUCCACGCCUUGUUGGUGUUACCAUUUAUGUCCUGUCGUGGGUAAUAUUGUGGGAGGUUAUACAGCCGAGCAUUGAAAGAGCUGAUGUCAGGUAACAAACCAAACAUUUUAUACCUUGCGCAGUAUACACAAUGUAGUUUACAUGCAAUAAAAUAUUGUUAGACACAAAAGAAAGCUGCUGACAUGAGGUGCAUUUCUGGCAGCUCUUACUUUAAAAAUUCAGUGGUGUAAACAAAUAAAAAUGAGAAAUAACUUGUACUCGGGGUGGCAGCUUACGAGGUUUUUAAGUGAGGCUUACUUGUGAUUUGUUCCUGCCAUGGUAUUGUAACCACAUUUUGUGUAAAAAUAACAUGUGUAUGGAGUCGUCAUCUCAGCAGCUAGUACUGAGAUUACUUCCUCAACAGUUGGGCUUGUUAAUAAUAACUCACAAAUAAGCCAAACUUUAAAGAAACUUGAUAUGACCUCUUAGGCCAUGCUGGAACAUUAUAAUAUCAACAGUGACUUAAUAAUGAUUUGAGAUGAACUUGAACUUCAUCUAAAGUUCAGUUUGAAGGCUAUUUGUGAAUUGGUCCACCUGGGCUGUGGUUUGUACAUCAGUUUACGUGUGGCCAGCAUCUGGUUGAUCAGUCCCUGAUCCACCACGAGGCCUGGUCAUGGACCGGGUCAUGGGAGCGAUGACCCCUGAAGCCUCUCCAGGUAUACAGUGCUAAUGUUAUCUAGCAAAGAAAAAUCUUUAUAAGACGGAAAUUUUGUACAAACAUUUAAAAAUAAAUUAAUUAAGGUUACCAACUAUAACAUAUAUUUUAAACUUUUUUAUAUUUUUAUAUUGUCCAAAACUUUCAUGUUUAAAAUAAAUAUAUUGUACAGGUUCACAUCCCUUUAUCCGAAAUUCUGAAAUUCAAAAAGUUCCUAAAACUGAAGUUUUUUCGUGGAGUGUGGAGCGUCGGUCAUCUCAGUGCUGGGUCACGCCGCCACAUAGUGGCGUUGACAAUCAUUCUGAAAUUCAAAACAAUACAGGCCCCAAGGGUUUUGGAUAAAGGGAUGAGGACCAAUUUAUGUAAUACACCUACCAUCUGACUUACGACCUGCUCGACUUACGACCACUUGACUUACGACCGUGUUUUUUAUGCCAAAUUU
This is a non-coding RNA of Cherax quadricarinatus, 2946 nucleotides long. The record is from RefSeq and is a predicted model, not a curated record. Lineage: Eukaryota; Metazoa; Arthropoda; Malacostraca; Decapoda; Parastacidae.